AGUGAACGCUGGCGGCAGGCCUAACACAUGCAAGUCGAACGGCAGCACAGUAAGAGCUUGCUCUUACGGGUGGCGAGUGGCGGACGGGUGAGGAAUACAUCGGAAUCUACUUUUUCGUGGGGGAUAACGUAGGGAAACUUACGCUAAUACCGCAUACGACCUACGGGUGAAAGCAGGGGAUCUUCGGACCUUGCGCGAUUGAAUGAGCCGAUGUCGGAUUAGCUAGUUGGCGGGGUAAAGGCCCACCAAGGCGACGAUCCGUAGCUGGUCUGAGAGGAUGAUCAGCCACACUGGAACUGAGACACGGUCCAGACUCCUACGGGAGGCAGCAGUGGGGAAUAUUGGACAAUGGGCGCAAGCCUGAUCCAGCCAUACCGCGUGGGUGAAGAAGGCCUUCGGGUUGUAAAGCCCUUUUGUUGGGAAAGAAAAGCAGCAGGUUAAUACCUCGCUGUUCUGACGGUACCCAAAGAAUAAGCACCGGCUAACUUCGUG
Molecule: ribosomal RNA, 492 nt
Filed under: uncultured bacterium
Lineage: Bacteria
Description: partial 16S ribosomal RNA
Rfam family: Bacterial small subunit ribosomal RNA
Source: RNAcentral